This is a non-coding RNA of Cinara cedri, 215 nucleotides long. The record is from the annotation of a GenBank genome assembly. NCBI's taxonomy places the organism in Eukaryota, Metazoa, Arthropoda, Insecta, Hemiptera, Aphididae.
AAUACCGAGUCAACUCUUUCCAUUAACAUUCAAACUAAUAGCACGACAUUAGGUGUGAUUAUUUUUGGCUAUUGUCUGCGUCCUGUGAUACGUUAGCGAGACGGAGACAACUAGUGUAUUGGACGCGUUCAACCGAUCCGAAUUGGAUUCUCUUAAUAUUUUGACUUCAUUCGAUGGUGUUAUGUCGUUCAGAUUGUAUUUUAACACGCCGUGAC